AUUAUUUCGUAGUACUUGAGCACGAUGAUCGGUGUUCACACUGUUGUGUGACACGUGCCCCCCUCAAACCUUGUUAUGACAUUGGAACAUUACCAUCUGACA
Small nucleolar RNA from Suricata suricatta (meerkat), 102 nucleotides. The record is from Ensembl. NCBI's taxonomy places the organism in Eukaryota, Metazoa, Chordata, Mammalia, Carnivora, Herpestidae.